AGUGAACGCUGGCGGUAGGCCUAACACAUGCGAGUCGAACGGCAGCACAGUAAGAGCUUGCUCUUUCGGGUGGCGAGUGGCGGACGGGUGAGGAAUACAUCGGAAUCUACUUUUUCGUGGGGGAUAACGUAGGGAAACUUACGCUAAUACCGCAUACGACCUACGGGUGAAAGCAGGGGAUCUUCGGACCUUGCGCGAUUGAAUGAGCCGAUGUCGGAUUAGCUAGUUGGCGGGGUAAAGGCCCACCAAGGCGACGAUCCGUAGCUGGUCUGAGAGGAUGAUCAGCCACACUGGAACUGAGACACGGUCCAGACUCCUACGGGAGGCAGCAGUGGGGAAUAUUGGACAAUGGCGCAAGCCUGAUCCAGCCAUACCGCGUGGGUGAAGAAGGCCUUCGGGUUGUAAAGCCCUUUUGUUGGGAAAGAAAAGCAGCAGGUUAAUACCCCGCUGUUCUGACGGUACCCAAAGAAUAAGCACCGGCUAACUUCGUG
RNAcentral lists this ribosomal RNA (491 nucleotides) under uncultured bacterium. Its description in RNAcentral is "partial 16S ribosomal RNA". It matches the Rfam family "Bacterial small subunit ribosomal RNA", at positions 29 to 507 of the family's 1533-position model. The record is from RNAcentral.